UGAAUAUGGGGGGACCAUCCUCCAAGGCUAAAUACUCCUGACUGACCGAUAGUGAACCAGUACCGUGAGGGAAAGGCGAAAAGAACCCCGGCGAGGGGAGUGAAAAAGAACCUGAAACCGUGUACGUACAAGCAGUGGGAGCCUCUUAAUGGGGUGACUGCGUACCUUUUGUAUAAUGGGUCAGCGACUUAUAUUCUGUAGCAAGGUUAACCGAAUAGGGGAGCCGAAGGGAAACCGAGUCUUAACUGGGCGUUAAGUUGCAGGGUAUAGACCCGAAACCCGGUGAUCUAGCCAUGGGCAGGUUGAAGGUUGGGUAACACUAACUGGAGGACCGAACCGACUAAUGUUGAAAAAUUAGCGGAUGACUUGUGGCUGGGGGUGAAAGGCCAAUCAAACCGGGAGAUAGCUGGUUCUCCCCGAAAGCUAUUUAGGUAGCGCCUCGUGAAUUCAUCUCCGGGGGUAGAGCACUGUUUCGGCAAGGGGGUCAUCCCGACUUACCAACCCGAUGCAAACUGCGAAUACCGGAGAAUGUUAUCACGGGAGACACACGGCGGGUGCUAACGUCCGUCGUGAAGAGGGAAACAACCCAGACCGCCAGCUAAGGUCCCAAAGUCAUGGUUAAGUGGGAAACGAUGUGGGAAGGCCCAGACAGCCAGGAUGUUGGCUUAGAAGCAGCCAUCAUUUAAAGAAAGCGUAAUAGCUCACUGGUCGAGUCGGCCUGCGCGGAAGAUGUAACGGGGCUAAACCAUG
This 750-nucleotide ribosomal RNA is filed under the name Escherichia coli. RNAcentral's name for it is "partial 23S ribosomal RNA". It matches the Rfam family "Bacterial large subunit ribosomal RNA", at positions 439 to 1191 of the family's 2925-position model. The record is from RNAcentral. Lineage: Bacteria; Pseudomonadati; Pseudomonadota; Gammaproteobacteria; Enterobacterales; Enterobacteriaceae.